UUUUGAAACAAAAUAAUGAUUCAUCGAGAAUAUCAUAUAAACUAACAUAAUUGUCAAGGCAAAUGCAUGAUUAGCACUUAGCCGUGGGAAUAAUUUGUACAGGCAAAAGCAGCAAAUUGAGAUACUACUAAACUAUUACAUUCUUUUGGAGUUCCACUACUAAAAUUCCACUAUUGAACUAUUACAUUCUUUUGUAUAGGCAAAAGCAGAAAAAUGUGCAAGUCCAGAGAUGGACCAAUCUGUAAGUCCCCUUAACUUCCAUCCAACAGCAAAAGCAACUAAAAAAAAGGUGUCCAUGCAACACAACUAACAGCACCAGUAUCAUCCACUGAAUAUCUGCAGAAGACCAUGAGCAAAACAUAGAAAAUCAUUCACGAAUUUUGCACUAUGCAUUAACAAACUUUAAGCUAAGAGAUCAACUUCCAUGGCAUGAAGAAUUUUGCUUUUCUAGAUAUAGUCAGAGAGUUGCUUACCUGAAUCUGAUUGCGAACUUGAUCCAGCUUGAAUUCCUGAUUCAAGGAAAUGCGAAGAAAUAAAAACAUGACAUCUCUUGGUUAGGGACAACAGAAAAAUAUAACAGAUGCAUGAUACAAAAAUAUAACAAUCAUUUGUGCUCCUACCUUCACAUCAAAAGUACUUUGUUACUCUUUGAUCCUUCAAUCUUCUGAUGCAGUUCACAAGUACCAUCUCUUAGAACAAAAUACUUCCAAUUCAACAUGAAUGGUAUUGAUAUAAAAGAAAAACACAAGUUCUAUUAGUUCAUAUACCUCAUGAUCAUUAGUUCUAUUUGACAAUUGUAUCCUGAGUAGCAUCAUCAUUUGAUGUUCCAAUUCUACAUUUAAACAAAUAGCAAAGUCAAAAUCAAAUUUAAACAAAUAGCAAAGUCAAUUUUAAACAAAUAGCACAGUCAAAAUACGUAAACUUGCUUAUUGAUUAUUAAGCACUGGGCAAUUUCUUUUAUCAUGUGUCGCACCAACUUUGCCACAUCCAUUACAACGUCUACCCUUGUGAUUUUUUGUUGUACCCAAAGCCUUUUCUUUGCCACCCUUCAACCUUUUGCCACACCCUUUUGCUCGCACUUGGUUUGGCUCAAUAUAAUUAUGAUCAUAAGUAGAAGACAUGUUAACCGACUUGGAUACAGUCAUCCCACCACUCUCCAUUUCAUUGUUUCUUUCAGAACCAUUCUUUCCAAUAAUUUGAUUGAUCUUUUCAUCCACACUAACAAAACAAUCUUUUAAAACAUUUGUGGCUUCUUCAUUUGUGAGAGCCCUAUCAAUGAAAUCUAAAGAUUGUUGAAUCAAUUGACUCCGCAAGAGUAAGUAUGGCUUGUCAUCUUUUAUCGCCACACCAUUAUCAUCAAUUACACCACUUGAUUUUGUUGUCUUUGUCCACCUCUUCAAAAUAUAUUUAGAAGGCAAUUUGUUAAGAUCAUGAUACUUAUGCAAAUAAGCUAUUACAUGCUGACAUAAAAUUCCCAAACUCUCAAACUUUUUUCAAGUGCAUGUUGCAUAAUCCAAAGAUUUGUCAUAAUGAAUUUCUCUUACUUUACAGUUGUUGACAUUCCUUCUGUAAAACUUAUAGUCAUGGUAGUUGACAUCCUCCUUCAUAUAAUUCAAGCUUUCACACAACUCUUCUUCAAAUUUAUAAUACAUAGUGUGUAUAAAUGUCAACCAUUUGAACCAAGAAGUGAUGACGAUAUUUUAUUCUCGGCCUCUCAACCAAAUCUUUGUUAUCUGAAACCAACUCUACAUGUCGUUGAUGUUUACAAAUGAUAACUUGACACUAGGUUCAUCAUAAGUACUUCAAAUAUUCAAUAUAACAUCAUAAGACAUUUUCACAGCAACAAGUUAUAAGACUAAGAAAAUAUAGAUUUGGCACUUUCAAUUUAUCCACACAAAAAACUUACAUUGAUCCAAUUUCAUAAAUAAGAAUUUGACUAGUUAUUCCAAUAAUAUUCAAUGCAGACAAUAAAGAAUAAAGAAAGCUGUAGAGAAGUUUUUGAACUUUUUGGUGUGUUGUUAAUGUAUUUCAAAUGCUCCAAUAGAUAAUAUUCCAGUACUAUCAUUUCAUUUUUUUUUUGAGAAAGAUUUAAUCUUAUGUUAUUAAUUUUGUUUGGUGAUAUUUUGUGUGAGAAGAUUGAAAAAGUUCAAUUUCGUACCAUUUGUUUUGUUAGCUUCAACUUGUGCAAUUGUGCAAUAAUGAAGCGUUAUGAUUGUUGUGGAGACAUUUAUAUUUUUAUGUUUGAAUUGCAUAGUUUAAAGGAUUGUUUGUUUUGUUGUUUUAAACUUCAUGAUUGAACUGUGCAGUUUUGCAUAGGUACAAGAUAUUAAGUUGAAGGCAUCAUCACCCUGAUUUGUAUAGUGUCAUGAGUUGUACUUCAGAAGCACUUCUUCAAGUUCUUCCUGGGGCAGGAAUUCGCUUUUUCCAUAAGGAUUUAUGCUAUGUCAAGCACAAUUUGUUGCUUUCGGACAAAUACCGAGGAGAAAGAGGAUGCAGGUCUACCCUGUUCAAGAAUUUGAGGAUUCAAAAUUGCAGUAGGAUUUAUGCAAGUUGCAGUGUAGAUAGUAUUAAUCUUAGGAAGAAACGAAAUGAAAGUUUGGAUGGUUUGACUUGCAAAUGCCAAGGGGCACAAAAUGUUGGUGAGGCAACUGCUGAGAAAGGAAAUAUAACAUGGAUAAAUAGCGUGCUGAAUGAUUUGGAUGGUCCAAAAUUUGACGUGGCUCAAUAAUUGAAAAACCUAACAAAAAGUACGAAAUUCAAAAUAUAAAGAAAUGGUUUACCGAUCGAGAAGAAUCGAUUUGGGGUUGGCUUAUUUCUAGGGCUUGGUUCUUCUGCUCCCUUCGUUCAAUAAGACUUCUGCUGAAUCGAUUUGAGAAAUUGAGAGGAAAUUUCUUCGUUCUUCUGCUGCUUCUUCGUUCUUCUGCUAUCUAGGGCUUGGUUUUUUCAAUUUCUAUCGAGGAGAGAGGACUGAGGAGCUUAAAAGAAAACACAGGAGUUAGCUUUUAAAAAAAACAUGGGAGGCUUAUUAAAUAGUUCUGUU
This 3040-nucleotide long non-coding RNA is filed under the name Panax ginseng (ginseng). RNAcentral's name for it is "long non-coding RNA (PGIN_LNC002120)". Lineage: Eukaryota; Viridiplantae; Streptophyta; Magnoliopsida; Apiales; Araliaceae. The record is from RNAcentral.